ACGGCUCAGUAACACGUCGGUAACCUACCCUCGGGAGGGGGAUAACCCCGGGAAACUGGGGCUAAUUCCCCAUAGGCCUGAGGUACUGGAAGGUCCUCAGGCCGAAAGGGACUUAUGUCCGCCCGAGGAUGGGCCGGCGGCCGAUUAGGUAGUUGGUGGGGUAAUGGCCCACCAAGCCGAAGAUCGGCACGGGCUGUGAGAGCAGGAGCCCGGAGAUGGACACUGAGACACGGGUCCAGGCCCUACGGGGCGCAGCAGGCGCGAAACCUCCGCAAUGCGGGAAACCGCGACGGGGGGACCCCGAGUGCCGUGGCAACGCCACGGCUUUUCCGGAGUGUAAAAAGCUCCGGGAAUAAGGGCUGGGCAAGGCCGGUGGCAGCCGCCGCGGUAAUACCGGCGGCCCGAGUGGUGGCCGCUAUUAUUGGGCCUAAAGCGUCCGUAGCCGGGCCCGUAAGUCCCUGGCGAAAUCCCACGGCUCAACCGUGGGGCUUGCUGGGGAUACUGCGGGUCUUGGGACCGGGAGAGGCGGGGGGUCCCCCUGGGGUAGGGGUGAAAUCCUAUAAUCCCAGGGGGACCGCCAGUGGCGAAGGCGCCCCGCUGGAACGGGUCCGACGGUGAGGGACGAAGGCCAGGGGAGCAAACCGGAUUAGAUACCCGGGUAGUCCUGGCUGUAAAGGAUGCGGGCUAGGUGUCGGGUGAGCCUCGAGCUCGCCCGGUGCCGUAGGGAAGCCGUUAAGCCUGCCGCCUGGGGAGUACGGCCGCAAGGCUGAAACUUAAAGGAAUUGGCG
RNAcentral lists this ribosomal RNA (788 nucleotides) under uncultured Thermococcus sp. RNAcentral's name for it is "bacterial SSU rRNA". It matches the Rfam family "Archaeal small subunit ribosomal RNA", at positions 85 to 870 of the family's 1478-position model. The record is from RNAcentral. Lineage: Archaea; Methanobacteriati; Methanobacteriota; Thermococci; Thermococcales; Thermococcaceae.